This 346-nucleotide unclassified non-coding RNA is filed under the name Hevea brasiliensis (rubber tree). Lineage: Eukaryota; Viridiplantae; Streptophyta; Magnoliopsida; Malpighiales; Euphorbiaceae. The record is from RNAcentral.
GCACAGAAAGUACCUUGAUCACCUAGCCUAGAAGAGGUGAAUGGAGAGUAAGUAUCAGUAAUGGAGGUUUUUACAUCACCACACUUAUCCUUCUCGAACUCAAAAUUCCUUAAAGUAAUUGGUGGUUUAAAGAUAUAAUUUUUAGCCAAUUCUUGCCUUACUUUUUUAAAGAGGCAAAUUAGAUCAAGGGUAUUAUUGUCAUUUACUAAUAUUGAUAUUUCACUUUCCUUUCUUUUUAUCUUCUUUUAUCUUCCAUCCAUUUACAAAUUCAAAAUAAACAGGAGGGUAAGCUCUUUAGUCAAUUUAAUUACCAAAAAGAUCACCACACUUGCAUACUUAAGAUCUA